UAAAACUCAAUAAUACAUCCAGGCUGAAGCCUUUGUGCUAUGAGUGACCUACACAUUCAACAGACUCAGGCUGCCAUAUACAGAUAAACACCACAGCUGGGAGGUCCAACAUAUACAAACAGUGGUGCCAAAGCACGUUGACAUGUGGCAAGAGGAAGAUGGAAUCGAACCUACGCCCUUCCUAUUACAAGACAACAACGCUACUCUCAGAAUCUUGACUUUUGGAUCCCACAGAGGAAUGUUACUGACAACCUCAAAAUAUACUUCAGUUUUCCUGAUUCAGCUCAAUUCUUCCUCUAAAACCAGGUUCUGAGUCUCUGACGUCAGCAAUUAUAAAUCACUGCAAUUAAUAAACAUGAUUUGAUUUUAAAAUAAUUGGACAUCAUUUAUUCUCCUUGUUAAUUUAUCAUUUCUCUUUCAUACGUUUUAUUCAUUGUUAGCUUUCAGUGCCUGCGAUGGACUGGUGACCUGUCCAGGGUGAACCCCGCCUCUCGUCUGGUGACAGCUGGAGCUGGGCCCCACCGGCCCCCCUCACCACCCUGCAGGGAUCAACGUGUUCAGAUCAUGGAUGGAAAGAUUUGAUGGUAGAUUGUCUCCCUUAAGACCUCACUGAAAACAGCUUCAUAGUUGAUGCCUCAACAUCAACUGAUUCUAUCAUAUUGCUGACUAUUUUUUCUACUUCUAACAUAAACAGGUAAAGAAGUAACCUAGAAAUGUUUUCCCAGCCCAGGCAUCCGGUCCCAAUCAUCAUCAGUUCUGAUGAUGUCACAUGCAUAGCGAGUCCGCUACGUCUUAAAAUUGUUUCUGUAAAGUGCAGUGAAUGGGAAUGUUCUGCCGUUGAUCCUCACUGUUCUUAGGAAGGAGAAAUGUCAGUAUGUUUGCAAUAAUACUGGAAUACUGUGAUAUUAAAUUAAAACAAUACUCUGUCCUUGGUUCAAUAUUUUUCACAUUUCCUCUAAAGUGUACCUAUUGUUUCAUUGUACUAAUUUUCAUAAGCAUGUUGUCUGCAAAUUUUGAAUGUAUUGACAAUUUGUACAAUUCUGUAAUAGUAUAUUGGCAAUGUACUCUUGAAAAAUGUAAAUAUAUGUCAAAUAAAAUGUGAUUUGUUAUGCA
Molecule: long non-coding RNA, 1113 nt
Organism: Xiphophorus maculatus (southern platyfish)
Lineage: Eukaryota; Metazoa; Chordata; Actinopteri; Cyprinodontiformes; Poeciliidae
Exons: 2
Source: RefSeq, a predicted model, not a curated record